GAUUGACCUCGGAUCAGGUAGGGAUACCCGCUGAACUUAAGCAUAUCAAUAAGCGGAGGAAAAGAAACCAACAGGGAUUGCCUCAGUAACGGCGAGUGAAGCGGCACCAGCUCAAAUUUGAAAUCUGGCCCUCUCCGGGUCCGAGUUGUAAUUUGUAGAAGAUGUUUCGGGCGCGGCGCCGGUCUAAGUCCUUUGGAACAGGGCGUCACAGAGGGUGAGAAUCCCGUAUGUGACCGGCGACCAACCCCAUGUGAAACUCCUUCGACGAGUCGAGUUGUUUGGGAAUGCAGCUCAAAAUGGGUGGUAAAUUUCAUCUAAAGCUAAAUACCGGCCAGAGACCGAUAGCGCACAAGUAGAGUGAUCGAAAGAUGAAAAGCACUUUGGAAAGAGAGUUAAACAGUACGUGAAAUUGUUGAAAGGGAAGCGCUUGCGACCAGACCUGCCCGUGGAUGAUCAGCGGUGGCUCCCCACCGUGCACUCGUCCACGUUUAGGCCAGCAUCGGUUUCGGCGGCCGGACAAAGACCGUGGGAAUGUAGCUCCCCCCGGGGAGUAUUAUAGCCCUCGGUGCAAUACGGCCUGCCGGGAUCGAGGACCGCGCUUCGGCUAGGAUGCUGGCGUAAUGGUCGUAAGCGACCCGUCUUGAAACACGGACCAAGGAGUCUAACAUCUAUGCGAGUGUUUGGGUGUCAAACCCAGGCGCGUAAUGAAAGUGAACGGAGGUGGGAGCCCUUUAGGGUGCACCAUCGACCGAUCCAGAAGUUUACGGAUGGAUUUGAGUAUGAGCAUAGCUGUUGGGACCCGAAAGAUGGUGAACUAUGCCUGAAUAGGGUGAAGCCAGAGGAAACUCUGGUGGAGGCUCGCAGCGGUUCUGACGUGCAAAUCGAUCGUCAAAUUUGGGUAUAGGGUACGUUAUUCUUUUCUUUUGUGGUCGGAGUGAGGUUGCAAACUGAUUGAAGGGGUUGCUAACAGUUAUUAUAGGGCGAAAGACUAAUCGAACCAUCUAGUAGCUGGUUCCUGCCGAAGUUUCCCUCAGGAUAGCAGUAACGUUUUCAGUUUUAUGAGGUAAAGCGAAUGAUU
RNAcentral lists this ribosomal RNA (1078 nucleotides) under Mycobilimbia tetramera. RNAcentral describes it as "LSU rRNA". It matches the Rfam family "Eukaryotic large subunit ribosomal RNA", at positions 1 to 1022 of the family's 3401-position model. Lineage: Eukaryota; Fungi; Ascomycota; Lecanoromycetes; Lecideales; Lecideaceae. The record is from RNAcentral.